This 253-nucleotide ribosomal RNA is filed under the name uncultured bacterium. RNAcentral describes it as "partial 16S ribosomal RNA". It matches the Rfam family "Bacterial small subunit ribosomal RNA", at positions 524 to 776 of the family's 1533-position model. The record is from RNAcentral.
UACGUAGGGGGCAAGCGUUGUCCGGAAUCAUUGGGCGUAAAGAGCGUGUAGGCGGUUCGGUAAGUCGGCUGUGAAAGUCCAGGGCUCAACCCUGGGAUGCCGGUCGAUACUGCCGGACUAGAGUUCGGAAGAGGCGAGUGGAAUUCCCGGUGUAGCGGUGAAAUGCGCAGAUAUCAGGAAGAACACCUAUGGCGAAGGCAGCUCUCUGGGACGGUACUGACGCUGAGACGCGAAAGCGUGGGGAGCGAACAGG